UACGGAGGGUGCAAGCGUUAUCCGGAUUCACUGGGUUUAAAGGGCGCGUAGGCGGUCCCAUAAGUCCCGCGUGAAAUCCCCCGGCUCAACCGGGGAACUGCGCGGGAAACUGCGGGGCUUGAGUUCGGGAGAGGGAAGCGGAAUUCCGGGUGUAGCGGUGAAAUGCGUAGAUAUCCGGAGGAACACCGGUGGCGAAGGCGGCUUCCUGGACCGACACUGACGCUGAGGCGCGAAAGCUAGGGGAGCAAACGGG
This 253-nucleotide ribosomal RNA is filed under the name uncultured bacterium. Its description in RNAcentral is "partial 16S ribosomal RNA". It matches the Rfam family "Bacterial small subunit ribosomal RNA", at positions 524 to 776 of the family's 1533-position model. The record is from RNAcentral.